Drosophila hydei is the source of this 1012-nucleotide RNA transcript. It is a transcript of the gene named protein cornichon, with no coding region annotated. The transcript has 6 exons. The record is from RefSeq and is a predicted model, not a curated record. NCBI's taxonomy places the organism in Eukaryota, Metazoa, Arthropoda, Insecta, Diptera, Drosophilidae.
UGCAACGCGCUGUUAGCAUACUUGGGCGAGAAGUUAAGCGACAGUCACAGCUGUCAUCAUUCUACACGACUCACACACUCAUGUAGCAGGAGAAAUUUAAAUAACAGCCCGCAGUAUUUUGAGUAACGAACCGCUACAAACAAUGGCCUUCAACUUCACCGCUUUCACAUAUAUUGUGGCGCUUAUUGGCGAUGCAUUUCUAAUAUUUUUCGCGAUAUUUCAUGUGAUUGCAUUCGAUGAGCUAAAAACAGAUUAUAAAAAUCCAAUCGAUCAGUGCAAUAGUCUAAAUCCGCUGGUUUUGCCGGAAUAUUUGCUGCACAUUUUCUUAAAUUUACUUUUCUUAUUCUGUGGAGAAUGGUAUUCACUUUGCCUCAAUAUACCAUUAAUAGCCUAUCAUAUAUGGCGCUACAAGAAUCGUCCCUUGAUGUCGGGUCCUGGUUUAUAUGAUCCCACGACAGUGUUAAAGACGGACACAUUGUCGCGUAAUCUGCGCGAGGGGUGGAUUAAAUUGGCCGUCUAUUUGAUCAGCUUCUUCUACUAUAUAUACGGCAUGGUUUAUUCGCUCAUCUCGACAUAAGAGGGUAUAAAAAGGGCAGCUGCCUGGGGAUCUCAUUGUUGUUGGCACUAGAGCAUCUUCUACAUCUACAUCCGCAUAUAUAUAUAUAUGUCUACACACAUACACACACCGACUUGCACACCUACCCAGACCUACACACAACUCCAUUUGGGAGCGAAGAAUGUUUUUAAAUGUAAAAAUUUGCUAGAUAUUCAUAAUGCCAACCAUAACAAAGAAACAUCUAUGUAGAUUUCUAAUGCUUGCAAGAUAGCGGCAUAUUCGACUAAACAUUUUAUCCAUUGAAGCAGAGGCCAGUUGACACAUGUAUCUAAGGCAAUUGCACACGGGCCACAGCACUUAAACAUCAUAAAGAUUAGAAACGAGUUCUUAUCAAGCCCGCCUGCCAACUACCCGUAUCUACACAAAUGUAAUAGCCCAACAUGAAAUGUUCGUAUG